RNAcentral lists this non-coding RNA (27 nucleotides) under Mus musculus (house mouse). The record is from RNAcentral. Lineage: Eukaryota; Metazoa; Chordata; Mammalia; Rodentia; Muridae.
UCCUGGAGAUGGACAGGUAUGCAACGU